Molecule: long non-coding RNA, 772 nt
Organism: Oryza sativa Japonica Group (Japanese rice)
Lineage: Eukaryota; Viridiplantae; Streptophyta; Magnoliopsida; Poales; Poaceae
Source: RefSeq, a predicted model, not a curated record
UUUAACAUAGCAUCUUUCCUCCCGGAAAAUUUCACGCACCAAUUCGAAAUGAACGAGCGAGCCAUGCGGCCUCCUGGGCCCAUCCGGCCCACUGGGCCGGAGAAUCGGUCCAAUCCCACGACGCGAUCACGCCGGCGCCGCCCCACCCCCACCCCACGGUGAACGGAGCCGCGGCCGCCGGCGAUCGAGGCGGGCCGCCACCGCCGGAACGGCAGAAACCCACCAUUGAUUCGCCGGCCUCGUCAAUCGCCCGGUUCCGUUACCCUCAUCUGCGGCGGACUGUCUCCGUCUCCUCCCCAAGUCGUGGACGGACGCGGCGUCGACUCUCAAACUCCUCGGCUAAAUCGCGAGGUUGAUGAUGCUGAUCCGGCACGAUCUUCUGCGUAAUCUUGUUCUCCGAUGUCUGGGGAAAUCAAGCUAGGUGUUGCCGACCUCAGCCAAGUGGGGGAGCUUGUUGGCUGGGAAGGGUGCUUGAAGGUCAUGUGAAAGUAGAUGCCGGCAUGCCGCAGUAGAUGCUGCAGAAAAUUUGCUCCAGCUGCUGUACAGCUCCAGAGUUACAGCUGUUGACAUCAUUGUUUCCAAGUAAAAUUAAAGGAAACUGAAACUCCCUCUCCCAUGCUCUCUUAUAUACAAACUUCCCUGCAAUUUCUAGUGUAGAGCAUAUGUUUUGAUACUCCAGUAUUUCCUUUUGCUUCUUUGCCGGAAUUAUCGAAGGAGGUCAUUCAAUAUAAUUAAGAUAGAAAGAAAUGUUACAAGAAAAGUUUUACAUCAA